AUUGAUAUACCGGUUCCCGUACGAUCACCGAAGUUAAGCAACGUCGAGUCUGGUCAGUACCAACAUGGGUGACCGUUUGGGAAUACCAGGGGUUGUAAG
Molecule: ribosomal RNA, 99 nt
Filed under: Acanthosepion pharaonis
Lineage: Eukaryota; Metazoa; Mollusca; Cephalopoda; Sepiida; Sepiidae
Source: RNAcentral